This is a non-coding RNA of Podarcis lilfordi (Lilford's wall lizard), 137 nucleotides long. The record is from the annotation of a GenBank genome assembly. NCBI's taxonomy places the organism in Eukaryota, Metazoa, Chordata, Lepidosauria, Squamata, Lacertidae.
AGCGGCGCAAAGCCUCCGCAGGGCAGUGGGGCGCCUUCAUCCCACUGCCCUCCGGGGGCUUCGCGGGCUGUCCCAGAAGCCUCCGCAGGACACAGGGAUGAAGGCUCCCCAUGCCCUGCAGAGGCUUUGCGCAAAGC